This 253-nucleotide ribosomal RNA is filed under the name uncultured bacterium. RNAcentral's name for it is "partial 16S ribosomal RNA". It matches the Rfam family "Bacterial small subunit ribosomal RNA", at positions 524 to 776 of the family's 1533-position model. The record is from RNAcentral.
UACGGAGGGGGCAAGCGUUAUUCGGAAUUAUUGGGCGUAAAGGGCGCGUAGGCGGCUAGAUGUGUCAAAGGUGAAAUCCCUCGGCUCAACUGAGGAACUGCCUUUGAAACUGUCUGGCUUGAGGCCGGGAGAGGGUAGCGGAAUUCCCAGUGUAGCGGUGAAAUGCGCAGAUAUCAGGAGGAACACCUAUUGCGAAGGCAGCUCGCUGGGACGUAACUGACGCUGAGACGCGAAAGCGUGGGGAGCAAACAGG